This 316-nucleotide long non-coding RNA is filed under the name Mytilus galloprovincialis (Mediterranean mussel). The record is from RNAcentral. Lineage: Eukaryota; Metazoa; Mollusca; Bivalvia; Mytilida; Mytilidae.
AUGAAAAAAUAUCCAAUGGUUCAAAAUAUUUGAAGAAAUUAAACAAAAGCUCUGUUAUUCGACUUUUGACGAUGCGAAUAUAAGCAUAAAUGCAAUUUGGGUACUUCUCAUUACAGAAUCAUUGAUGGUUUGGAGGUCAGUUCAGACCAAUUUUAUUAUGAUUCCAUAUGGUUUGAAUAUCAAAUUGGUGUACCUAUAUUAUAAAGAAGGAUAUAGCUACAACAUAAACAAAAAAUGGAAACUUUUGUCGUGAUCAUAACAAUACGUAGUUAAAAAAAACUGUCAAAAUAGGUGCAAUUUGGGUACCGUCACGUUA